Molecule: ribosomal RNA, 119 nt
Filed under: Pan paniscus (pygmy chimpanzee)
Lineage: Eukaryota; Metazoa; Chordata; Mammalia; Primates; Hominidae
Source: RNAcentral
GUCUACGGCCAUACCACCCUGAACGAGCCUGAUCUUGUCUGAUCUUGGAAGCUAAGCAGGGUCGGGCCUGGUUAGUACUUGGAUGGGAGACCACCUGGGAAUACCGGGUGCUGUAGGCU